Molecule: ribosomal RNA, 303 nt
Filed under: Triticum aestivum (bread wheat)
Lineage: Eukaryota; Viridiplantae; Streptophyta; Magnoliopsida; Poales; Poaceae
Description: partial small subunit ribosomal RNA
Source: RNAcentral
AUGGCGACACCCGGCUCGCACUCCCUCUCCGGCGACCGCGUAUCCUCCGGGGAUGGACGUUGGUUUGACUCGGAUGGUGAGUCCUCCGCGCGCUCCUAUAGCGAGGCCACCCGCUCACCGCCGGCUCCCCGGAGCGCUGCUCCCGCGCCGCCUCCUGCGCCUGGUCCCGUGGCGGCGACCACGCGGCUGCCUGCCUCGGCCCGCAUUGGUCCCCGCUCCGAGGUGCAUCGCAUCUUGUGGGGCGCCGUGGUGGAUGCUGACGGGUUCCAGCAUCCACAUCGCAGGAACCGCUGCUGCCCCUGA